This 2500-nucleotide ribosomal RNA is filed under the name human gut metagenome. RNAcentral's name for it is "bacterial LSU rRNA". It matches the Rfam family "Bacterial large subunit ribosomal RNA", at positions 1 to 2541 of the family's 2925-position model. The record is from RNAcentral.
UAAAGCAAGAAAGGGCGUAUGGGGAAUGCCUAGGCACACUCCGGCGAAGAAGGACGCAGCAAACAGCGAAAUGCGACGGUGAGCGGUAAGCACGUGAAGAGCCGUCGAUAUCCGAAUGGGGGAACCCACACGGAGUCAUAUCCGUGUAUCACAUGUCGAAUACAUAGACAUGAUGAGGCGAGACGCAGGGAACUGAAACAUCUAAGUACCUGCAGGAAGAGAAAAUAAGAAUGAUUUUCUGAGUAGCGGCGAGCGAAAGGGAAAGAGCCCAAACCGAUCUGAGGAUCGGGGUAGUAGGAUCAUCGAUAAAUCAAACAGAGGAUCAUAGAGGAAUCACAUGGGAAGGUGAGCGAGAGAGGGUGAGAGCCCCGUACUCGAAAUGAGAGACUGGAGAGAGAUGACACCUGAGUAGGGCGGGACACGAGAAAUCCUGUCUGAAUCAGCCGGGACCAUCCGGCAAGGCUAAAUACGAGAGAGUGACCGAUAGUGAACCAGUACCGUGAGGGAAAGGUGAAAAGAACCCCGGGAGGGGAGUGAAAGAGAACCUGAAACCAUAUGCCUACAAGAAGUCAGAGCCCGUUAAAGGGUGAUGGCGUGCCUUUUGUAGAAUGAACCGGCGAGUUACUGUAUGGAGCGAGGUUAAGCAGGAUAUGCGGAGCCGAAGCGAAAGCGAGUCUUAAGAGGGCGCGAGUUGCAUGCAGUAGACCCGAAACCGGGUGAUCUAGCCAUGACCAGGUUGAAGUUGGGGUAAAACCCGAUGGAGGACCGAACCGACCCCCGUUGAAACGUUGGCGGAUGAGUUGUGGCUAGGGGUGAAAUUCCAAUCGAACCCGGAGAUAGCUGGUUCUCCCCGAAAUAGCUUUAGGGCUAGCGUCGAGAGAAGAGUUGCGUGAAGGUAGAGCACUGAAUAUGUGAUGGCCCCAUCUCGGGGUACUGAGCAUAAUCAAACUGCGAAUGUCACGAGAACAUGCUCGGCAGUCAGACAGCGGGUGAUAAGGUCCGUUGUCAAGAGGGAAACAGCCCAGACCAUCAGCUAAGGUCCCAAAAUGUAUGCUAAGUGGAAAAGGAUGUGGAGAUGUACAGACAACUAGGAGGUUGGCUCAGAAGCAGCCAUCCUUUAAAGAGUGCGUAACAGCUCACUAGUCGAAUGACUCUGCGCCGAUAAUUUACCGGGGCUAAGCAUACUACCGAAGCUAUGGAUCCCAAGGGAUGGUAGGGGAGCGUUCCAUGAACGGAGAAGUACGACCGAAAGGACGUGUGGAGAUCAUGGAAGAGAGAAUGCCGGUGUGAGUAGCGGAACGUGGGUGAGAAUCCCACGCACCGAAAACCCAAGGUUUCCAGAGGAAGGUUCGUCCGCUCUGGGUAAGUCGGGACCUAAGGCGAGGCCGAAAGGCGUAGUCGAUGGACAACAGGUAGAGAUUCCUGUACCCGUAUAUAUGUGAAGGAAUGACGGAGAGAGGAAGCUGCAGCCAGCGGCUGGAAGAGCUGGUGCAAGCGAGAUAUCGGGAUGGCAGGCAAAUCCACCAUCCGAAACGAGAAGGCGUGAAGCGUACGGAAAGCUACGGCGAGUACGGAAGGCAGUGGAGGAACUUCCAAGAAAAGUUUCUAACGUUAAGUAUAUAUGGCCCGUACCGAAAAUGGACACACAUGGGUGAGGAGAGAAUCCUAAGGUGAGCGAGAGAACUAUAGCUAAGGAACUCUGCAAAAUGACUCCGUAACUUAGGGAGAAGGAGUGCUCAUAGAGAUAUGAGCCGCAGUGAAACGGCCCAAGCGACUGUUUACCAAAAACACAGCUCUCUGCUAAGCCGCAAGGCGAAGUAUAGGGGGUGACGCCUGCCCGGUGCUGGAAGGUUAAGGGGAGGGGUUAACGCAAGUGAAGCCCUGAACUGAAGCCCCAGUAAACGGCGGCCGUAACUAUAACGGUCCUAAGGUAGCGAAAUUCCUUGUCAGGUAAGUUCUGACCCGCACGAAAGGCGUAACGAUUUGAGACUCGGUGAAGUCUUAGUACCUGUGAAGAUGCAGGUUACCCGCGACUAGACGGAAAGACCCCAUGGAGCUUCACUGCAGGUUGAUAUUGGGAUUUGAUGCAGCAUGUACAGGAUAGGUAGGAGGCAAAGAGAUGGAUACGCCAGUAUUCAAGGAGCCGCUGUUGGGAUACUACCCCUGUUGUAUUGGAUUUCUAACCGGACGACGUAGAGCCGUUGACGGGACAGUGUCAGUCGGGCAGUUUGACUGGGGCGGUCGCCUCCCAAAGAGUAACGGAGGCGCCCAAAGAUACCCUCAGCUUGGAUGGAAACCAAGCGCAGAGUGCAAAGGCAAAAGGGUGUUUGACUGCGAGACCCACAAGUCGAGCAGGGACGAAAGUCGGGCUUAGUGAUCCGGCGGUGCUGAAUGGAAAGGCCGUCGCUCAACGGAUAAAAGCUACCCUGGGGAUAACAGGCUGAUCUCCCCCAAGAGUUCACAUCGACGGGGAGGUUUGGCACCUCGAUGUCGGCUCAUC